GUGCAGCCGCCGCGGUAAUACCGGCAGCACGAGUGAUGGCCGAUAUUAUUGGGCCUAAAGCGUCCGUAGCUGGCCGGACAAGUCCGUUGGGAAAUCCACCCGCUUUACGGGUGGGCGUCCAGCGGAAACUGUCCGGCUUGGAGCCGGAAGACCUGAGGGGUACGUUCGGGGUAGGAGUGAAAUCCUGUAAUCCUGGACGGACCGCCUGUGGCGAAAGCGCCUCGGGAGGACGGACCCGACGGUGAGGGACGAAAGCCAGGGUCUCGAACCGGAUUAGAAACCCGGGUAGUCC
RNAcentral lists this ribosomal RNA (292 nucleotides) under uncultured bacterium. RNAcentral's name for it is "partial 16S ribosomal RNA". It matches the Rfam family "Archaeal small subunit ribosomal RNA", at positions 455 to 747 of the family's 1478-position model. The record is from RNAcentral.